GAUGAAGAACGCAGCGAAAUGCGAUACUUGGUGUGAAUUGCAGAAUCCCGUGAACCAUCGAGUCUUUGAACGCAAGUUGCGCCCGAAGCCAUUAGGCCGAGGGCACGCCUGCCUGGGCGUCACACGUCGUUGCCCCCCCAUCUACUCCUUCGGGAUUGCGGGGGGCGGAUGAUGGCCUCCCGUGCGCCUCGUCGCGCGGUUGGCAUAAAUGCCAAGUCCUCGGCGACGCACGCCACGACAAUCGGUGGUUGCGAAACCUCGGUUGCCCGUCGUGUGCGGUCGUCGCGCAUCGAGGGCUCGAAAAAAUUGCCGGGCUCCGGCUCGGCUUUCAACGCGAACCCAGGUCAGGCGGGGUUACCCGCUGAAUUUAAGCAUAUCAAUAAGCGGAGGA
Molecule: unclassified non-coding RNA, 391 nt
Filed under: soil metagenome
Description: partial contains 5.8S ribosomal RNA, internal transcribed spacer 2, and large subunit ribosomal RNA
Rfam family: 5.8S ribosomal RNA (bases 1-122)
Source: RNAcentral